This 481-nucleotide ribosomal RNA is filed under the name uncultured bacterium. RNAcentral's name for it is "partial 16S ribosomal RNA". It matches the Rfam family "Bacterial small subunit ribosomal RNA", at positions 28 to 507 of the family's 1533-position model. The record is from RNAcentral.
GAUGAACGCUGGCGGCGUGCUUAACACAUGCAAGUCGAACGAAGCAUUUGCGACAGAUUUUUUCGGAAUGAAGUUGCUUAUGACUGAGUGGCGGACGGGUGAGUAACGCGUGGGUAACCUGCCUUGUACUGGGGGAUAGCAGCUGGAAACGGCUGGUAAUACCGCAUAAGCGCACAAUGUUGCAUGACAUGGUGUGAAAAACUCCGGUGGUAUAAGAUGGACCCGCGUCUGAUUAGCUAGUUGGUGAGAUAACAGCCCACCAAGGCGACGAUCAGUAGCCGACCUGAGAGGGUGACCGGCCACAUUGGGACUGAGACACGGCCCAGACUCCUACGGGAGGCAGCAGUGGGGAAUAUUACACAAUGGAGGAAACUCUGAUGCAGCGACGCCGCGUGAGUGAAGAAGUAAUUCGUUAUGUAAAGCUCUAUCAGCAGGGAAGAUAGUGACGGUACCUGACUAAGAAGCGCCGGCUAAAUACGUG